GAUGAACGCUAGCGGCAGGCCUAACACAUGCAAGUCGAGGGGUAGAAGGAGCUUGCUCCUUUGAGACCGGCGCACGGGUGCGUAACGCGUAUGCAAUCUACCUUGUACAGGGGAAUAGCCCAGAGAAAUUUGGAUUAAUGCCCCAUAGUAUAUAACCUUCGCAUGUUGGUUAUAUUAAAGUUCCAACGGUACAAGAUGAGCAUGCGUCCCAUUAGUUAGUUGGUAAGGUAACGGCUUACCAAGACGAUGAUGGGUAGGGGUCCUGAGAGGGAGAUCCCCCACACUGGUACUGAGACACGGACCAGAAUCCUACGGGAGGCAGCAGUGAGGAAUAUUGGUCAAUGGUCGCAAGACUGAACCAGCCAUGCCGCGUGCAGGAAGACGGUCCUAUGGAUUGUAAACUGCUUUUAUACAGGAAGAAACCCUCCCACGUGUGGGAGCUUGGCGGUACUGUAGGAAUAAGGAUCGGCUAACUCCGUG
RNAcentral lists this ribosomal RNA (480 nucleotides) under uncultured bacterium. Its description in RNAcentral is "partial 16S ribosomal RNA". It matches the Rfam family "Bacterial small subunit ribosomal RNA", at positions 28 to 507 of the family's 1533-position model. The record is from RNAcentral.